UACGGAGGGUGCAAGCAUUAAUCGGAUUUAUUGGGCGUAAAGGGCUCGUAGGCGGGAAGAUAAGUCGGAUGUGAAAUCCCGGGGCUCAACCCCGGAACAGCAUCUGAAACUGUCGUUUCUAGAGGGUAGGCGGAGAAAACGGAAUUCCACAAGUAGCGGUGAAAUGCGUAGAUAUGUGGAAGAACACCGGUGGCGAAGGCGGUUUUCUAGCUUAAACCUGACGCUGAGGCGCGAAAGCAAGGGGACCAACAGG
This 253-nucleotide ribosomal RNA is filed under the name uncultured bacterium. RNAcentral describes it as "partial 16S ribosomal RNA". It matches the Rfam family "Bacterial small subunit ribosomal RNA", at positions 524 to 776 of the family's 1533-position model. The record is from RNAcentral.